AUUUCUUGUAGUCAGUCUUCAUGUACUUUCUUUGCAAAUCGAAAGUAUUACUUUUGGUUGGUGACAUAUGUAUGUAUUACAUAUUCACAUGUGUAUGACAUAUUCACAUGUCAUGUUUAUACGUGUGUGCACAGCAAAGGAGGACCAAGGAGGUGACGGUGAAAUUGGUGGAGGUUUUUGGAUUUAGAAUUGGUGCAAUAGAUAUCAACAACAACAACACAGAAAACAGUGGAAAAUAACAUGGCAUGAUGACAAGACAACAACAAAUCACAUCGGACAUUUAGAUUAGCAGUUGCACAACCUCUUUCCGACGAGCUGAACCCUUUUAUGAUGUACAUAUGGGAGAUGAUUGUUUGGAAUUGGCAUCAAACAAUAUUGGUUGAUUAGUUUCGUUGGAUCCUUACAGGAUAGUUAUAAGGAAAUCGUUCGCGUUUAGUACUAAUGUAUACAUUUGCUAAUACAUAAUUUAAAUGUAAAAUAUUAUUAAAUUAUACAAAUGAAUGUUCGAAUACUAAUAACAGUCGUAAUAGUAGUUUAAUUUUAUUUGUAUUGUAUAAAAAACAACUACAAAAAAUUAAAAUUUAAUAAUUAAUACUAACUUUAUUUGUAAAAUAUGUAAAUUUUGUCAAUUUAUAAAUGAUAGCUGCAAAAACGUUUGUAAAAAUGAAAGUUCACUUUGUACUGAAAGGCUAAUAUUAAAAAUUAAUCUAUAAUAAUUAUUAAAAAUUUAAAAUAUUAUACCAUACUAAUUUAUAAAU
Molecule: long non-coding RNA, 758 nt
Organism: Zeugodacus cucurbitae (melon fly)
Lineage: Eukaryota; Metazoa; Arthropoda; Insecta; Diptera; Tephritidae
Exons: 4
Source: RefSeq, a predicted model, not a curated record